Long non-coding RNA from Oryzias latipes (Japanese medaka), 1702 nucleotides. RefSeq lists it as uncharacterized. NCBI's taxonomy places the organism in Eukaryota, Metazoa, Chordata, Actinopteri, Beloniformes, Adrianichthyidae. The record is from RefSeq and is a predicted model, not a curated record.
GUAGAGAAGGGAACAGGGAGCAGGCCGGAGUCGAACCCUAGUUUCACGGACGGAAGGUGCCGCAAACCAGUGUGAUGCUGGAAAAGGUGUGGCUCCCACUGGACCCAAACUGAUGGAAGCAGCCUUUAAAAGCACCAUGUGGACCUCCAGCCUGUGAGAAGGGAGCUUUGCUGCAACCUGUCUCCCCUGCAAGGUGGUGCUCUUCCUCACAUGUUUUGUAGUUUGUGUUGCACUGUGUAAUUGUUGUAGUUUUGUGUUCAGGCCCACUCUGAGUAAUCUUUUGUUUGUAGUUAUGUUUAAGAGAAGCUAUGGGGGGAACUGUCAUUUUCUUUCACGUAUGUUUUAUUCUGUUUAUGUUAGUCUUGGGAGGUUAGUGUUUUGUCAGUGAUUUUCCUUCUUUUUUUUACAGGUUAGGUUUCAUAUUUCAGUUAGGUGGGGUUUUGUUUGUGAUUUUGGCCUUGGUUUAUCCUGAGGCCUUUUUCCUUCACCUUUUAGUUAUUGUUCUUCAGUAUUUAUUAUUGAUUAUGCUCCUCUAGGUCCCUCUAGAUAUAAAAAGUGGCAUAAUAACACCCCUUAAACACUUUCAAGAAGAAAUUACCCAAACUCUAUCUACCUUCUUGGGCUGCUUCAUCUCAUUAUCACCCUCACUGGAGAUCUAUUAGGAGACCUUUUAGAACUAUCACUAUUGAAAGUUGAACAGUCUAAGAAUAUAAUUAUUCUUGUUGUAGCAAUAACCAUUGCAAAAAAAUAAAUAAAUAAAAAUAAAUAAAUAAAAAACUAUCUUUAUGAACUGGAAAUCAAAAAAACACCACAAACUUGUCUAUAUUUAAAAACUUGUUUCUUGAAUACAUUUGUUUAGCCAAUUUAUUACCUUCUUCCACUGGUAUGACUGAACUACAAUCUGUCAUUUAGGAACGGCUUGUCUCUUAACUUUGUGCUUGUAAGGAUUGUAUGCGCGCCACCGCCCCUGCACUGUCCUUUGGUGCGGGCCGUGCCCUCCUGUCCUUUUUUAUUCCUAUGCCGGUUCCAGGUGGGCAGUGAGGGGGGGGGGACUGUCUCAGCCUCUCUGGUAUUGGGUGUGUUGACCUUGCUCUCCCGUUUCUCCCCCGACUCUCUCUACUGUACCCCAUUCAUGUCAUCUGAUUAGGGUCUGAAUAUGGCAUCUGAUGGUUGGGGGUAACUACUCGAUAUUUUUUGUAAUAAUGACAAGAUGAUUUUUAAUUCUAUUGUUGGUUUUAUGCUUGACUUUUCUAUUAUCCUAUACUUUCCUUUCUAUCUAUAUGAAUCUCUAUUAAUGUAUCCCUCGAUUUGUAUAGCUAUCAGAAUGCAUGAUUGUCGGUUCAAGAUUGUGUGUAUAUAAUCGAAUGGAAUUCUCUCUCUUGUUGUCUUAUUCUCACAUGCACAUGCAUACACACCCACACACACAGAAACUUUUCCUCUUUUCCCCCUUUUUUCUUGCGUUUGUGAUGGUUGUUAUCUUUGUUUAUCAGAUCUGUUUGUCCAGUGUAUUUUCUUUUGUUGUUGUUGUCUCACUUAAAUAAAAAUUUGGGGGGAAAUGAACAAAUAGUUUCUAAUAAAAAAUAUUUUGGAAUACAUACUCAGAAGACAGCAGACACAGUCUGGAAGUCCAAAAACAUAGGUUAGAUAGUGACUCUGAAUUGUUCCUUUGGUUAGUUCAAUAAAGUUCAUAGUGUCUGUAUUA